AUAGCCCUCUCCAUGCUGCAAGAAAAAAACUUCUUAUGCCAGUUAAUACCCACCAUCUAGGUUUUUAACUGCAGACUAAACUCCCCCAACUUGGACUUGGAAUCCUUCACACAGUAGGCUUAGUAAACCAAAUACCAUUUGACUUUUUUGUGUUCAGUAGACUAAUUUAAAUAACAGUCGGUGUCUUGACAGUGAUUGUGCAUAAAUGAUAUUGUGUAAUCCCAGUAGCACACUUUAAUCAUGCAUAGAGAAUUUGUUUUGGCUUGUGUUCAGGUUCAUUCAAUGAUUGCAUAAUUCUUCCUCCAUUCUGCUGUUUAACUCCAUUAAACAGUAACAUGUUGCUUCUUCCACUGCAGCUUUUACUAUUUUCAACAGGCCUCUUUGGACUUUAGCUCAGGUCGACCUCAUUAGAAGAGAACUGUGCAGUUUUUAAAAUAUCUAAAGUGCACUCAGCUAUAAUGUAUUGACCAAAAGCACAAAAUUUGACCUAUUUUGUUAUCUUAGACACCAAGAACAUUGAGGUCAGCUGAGGUCAACCCCUGAUCAUUGGUAUCAGGACUCUGUGGUUGUAGAGAAUCAUCCUAUGACUCGAGAGGAAAAUGCUCAACAUGACUCCAACCCAUGAAUGCCAGAUUGCCCGCAGACCACUGACGAUUUCACUGCGGGUCACUUUUUGUGACUCAUGAGUCACUGGAAGGGCAGAAAACAGCUCCAUCUACUGUGUCAGGGAAACCAGCUUCCUUCAGGACGCCCUCACCUCCCGUACCUGCAACACACCUCGCUGCAGUUAUCCACCCAUCCUCCUCAUCCUCAUCAUUACCAUCAUCAGUACAGGAUUUCCUUUAUUUGGAGACUUCUGAGAGGCAGUGAGCGGCAGUAAGGACCCACUGAGCGCUAAUCAGAGUUCCUCCACAGAAAUGGAUCCCUGUACUGGUAGAAAGAGACAAAAAGAGACCGGUGGAUCAACCUCCCUUUGAGAGCUGCAACAAUUUUACAAGUCUGGAUUUCAAUAAAGAGUUUUAGUGUCUCCUGAUUGUUCUUCACCUUCACUAAAAAGUACAAUUCUUGAAGAAAAACAUAAUCAUUGUAAUUAGUCUUAAUAGCAAAAUGCAGAUCAUUUUUAAUGUGAUCUUUUCACUAUUCUCUGUAAUGUUGGUACAUAAUCCUGACUUUAAUCUUGACACUGAUAAUAAAAGAGAGUCAUACUCAGUGGUAA
Molecule: long non-coding RNA, 1216 nt
Organism: Thunnus maccoyii (southern bluefin tuna)
Lineage: Eukaryota; Metazoa; Chordata; Actinopteri; Scombriformes; Scombridae
Exons: 5
Source: RefSeq, a predicted model, not a curated record